RNAcentral lists this ribosomal RNA (451 nucleotides) under uncultured soil bacterium. RNAcentral describes it as "bacterial SSU rRNA". It matches the Rfam family "Bacterial small subunit ribosomal RNA", at positions 26 to 518 of the family's 1533-position model. The record is from RNAcentral.
AGAACGAACGCUGGCGGCAUGCCUAAUACAUGCAAGUCGAACGAGAUCCUUCGGGGUCUAGUGGCGCACGGGUGCGUAACGCGUGGGAAUCUACCCUUGGGUUCGGAAUAACAGUUGGAAACGACUGCUAAUACCGGAUGAUGACGAAAGUCCAAAGAUUUAUCGCCCAGGGAUGAGCCCGCGUAGGAUUAGCUAGUUGGUGAGGUAAAGGCUCACCAAGGCUACGAUCCUUAGCUGGUCUGAGAGGAUGAUCAGCCACACUGGGACUGAGACACGGCCCAGACUCCUACGGGAGGCAGCAGUAGGGAAUAUUGGACAAUGGGGGCAACCCUGAUCCAGCAAUGCCGCGUGAGUGAUGAAGGCCUUAGGGUUGUAAAGCUCUUUACCCGAGAUGAUAAUGACAGUAUCGGGAAGAAUAAAGCUACCGGACUAACUCCGUGCCAGCAGCCGC